This 406-nucleotide ribosomal RNA is filed under the name uncultured bacterium. RNAcentral's name for it is "partial 16S ribosomal RNA". It matches the Rfam family "Bacterial small subunit ribosomal RNA", at positions 29 to 526 of the family's 1533-position model. The record is from RNAcentral.
AUUGAACGCUGGCGGCAGGCCUAACACAUGCAAGUCGAGCGAGCGACGGACGGGUGAGUAAUGUCAGGGAAACUGCCUGAUGGAGGGGGAUAACUACUGGAAACGGUAGCUAAUACCGCAUACAAUCAGACGUGCCCAGAUGGGCUUAGCUAGUAGGUGUGGUACCGGCUCACCAAGGCGACGAUCACUAGUUGGUCUGAGAGGAGGACCAGCCACACUGGAACUGAGACACGGUGCAGACUCAUACGGGAGGCAGCAGUGGGGAAUAUUGCACAAGGGGCGCAAGCCUGAUGCAGCCAUGCCGCGUGUGUGAAGAAGGCCUUCGGGUUGUAAAGCACUUUAAGCGGGGAGGCGUUACCCGCAGAAGAAGCACCGGCUAACUCCGUGCCAGCAGCCGCGGUAAUUC